RNAcentral lists this ribosomal RNA (159 nucleotides) under Ramaria cf. formosa UBC F16289. Its description in RNAcentral is "5.8S ribosomal RNA". It matches the Rfam family "5.8S ribosomal RNA". From Rfam's summary of the family: 5.8S ribosomal RNA (5.8S rRNA) is a component of the large subunit of the eukaryotic ribosome. It is transcribed by RNA polymerase I as part of the 45S precursor that also contains 18S and 28S rRNA. Functionally, it is thought that 5.8S rRNA may be involved in ribosome translocation. Lineage: Eukaryota; Fungi; Basidiomycota; Agaricomycetes; Gomphales; Gomphaceae. The record is from RNAcentral.
UACAACUUUCAACAACGGAUCUCUUGGCUUUUGCAUCGAUGAAGAACGCCGCGAAAGCGCGAAACGUAAUGUGAAUUGCAGAAUUCAGUGAAUCAUCGAAUCUUUGAACGCAUCUUGCGCUCCUUGGUAUUCCGAGGAGCAUGCCUGUUUGAGUGUCGU